CGUACACUGGCACAACCUGGACCUUCCAAAAUAUCCUAACGAAUGCUUAAAGUGGCCCGAAAUAAAAUUGACGCAAGAAAAAAAUGCUUACCGUUCUUUUUCUGCUCGAUAAAAAGUGUUGGCUGAACUAAAUGGAAUCUGAAGAACUUUUGUACAGGGGUUUUCCGGUUAAAAAUGGAGUGAUGAUGGCUUUAACAACUGUCAGCAGGAGUUGAAGAUCGAUAACCUAAAAAAUAACAGGAUUCGGACCGCAGUGCUCAAAACAUUAUGGCCGCGAGAAGCAUGUUGGCGAUCGGCGCCACAUAACGUGCUCCUAAAAUAUUCACAACGCUUCUGGUUGUUCGUAAUAGUUUCGUUGCUCCCUGCUAACUGACGGACGAUAAAUCGAAAAAAACGAAUUCAAACGUAGGAUGUAAAAGUGAAAAAUAAGACCCUAUCAUUUCCCGUUUAAUAAUAAUGUGGAAAAUUAAGGAGAAAACAUAGACCCGCGGUGAUCUGAGAGUGUGAACGCGAGUGUGAGCUGGCUUGGCCGCUCGCGCUAGUCGCUCGCAGAUGUUGGGCUUCGUAGCUCCUGGAUCGACCAUCAUUGUGAUACGACGACCAUGGGGGAUGAAAAUGUGAUCACGGAAACCUGGCAGCAGAAGUUACUGUUCUACAUCACCGCCUUUUUCGUCUUGCUGGGCAUUUUCAGCCUGUUUUCCUUCUUAUUUCUCGUGCCUUUCGUCAUUGACCCGGCCUUCACCACUAUUUUUAUGGAAUUCAAUGAGGAACCCGCUUACUGUGUCACCGUUAAGACGCAGAGACUGCUUGGAGCUUCGAACUGUAGCUGGACUUCUUGUAGAGAAGGGUGCACUAAAGAUAUUUACGAUUGCACACAGAUUUUUGUUACCUAUAAAAUUUUAUUAAAUAACACUUAUUGGAAUAGCACCAUUCCAACAACCAUGAAAAAUACCGAGUCUCCUUUCAAAAAGGAUAAAGCCUUGUUGGACGAUUAUGAUUAUGAUGACACAAGCACAGGCCUGCAAGGUAACAAUUCCGAAUGGUAUUACCGGGAAGCCAGACUGAUGCCAAACGUAAAAGGUUGUGGCUACCCUCCUAUGUUAAACUGUUCCAUAUGGUUAAAAGCAUACAUAAACAUAGGAACAAAUUUCUCCUGCUUCUACAGCAAAGUAGACCCGGGACUAGUCAUCAGCGAUCUGGAUAUGUGGCAAGUUUACAUGAACUUGGUGUACGCCAUGUGUAUUCCUAUACCGUCUUUUAUAAUUUCCGUCAUAUAUUUAGCAAUUGCUUACUUCAAAAUAUACACGGAUGACGAAGAGGCUGCUCCUUUAGAAAAAAAUGCUGAAGACAUUGAUGUCGAAGGAGAAAGCUGCGCUAAUCAAACUCCUCCUCCGCUUGCCAGUGGAGGAAUUACACCUGCUAGUGAGGCAUUUAGGGAGGAUCUGGCCAGUUUUGGACACCAUUUCAAAGUAGCGAUGGUAGAUGACAUUAGCAGAGAUAGUCUUGUUGAUGGUGUCAUCACUUCUGUUUCCAUUGGAGGGAGUAUUGGUAAAACGAUGACUACUAGUAUCUCGACCACUGGUGGUCCAGUAGCGGACAUUUAAAUCAACGUUUUGACAGAACUUAAUAAGGCUUGUGCUAUACUAGCUUAGCAAAUUUUUACAAUACGUACAUCUGAUUCAAAUAUAUUUUAAUCGUUCUGCUAUCACAACAAAAUCGUGCUGCACCUCAUCUAAACAAUGAACUUAAAGUGUUGUCUAAAUUUAGCCAUUCAAGAGAAAUUCUUCGAGAGGGACACCAAAUACAUAAUGUACAUACUAGAUUGUCUCUAAAAUAAUUGUUGCAAUAUUAAAAAUACUGUUGAAAGUUUACUAAUAAAAUUAUGUUGUAAUAUGCAACAAUCCAAAUACUAUACAGCCUUGGGUCGAUUUGAAAAUGAUUUUUCCUAAAUAAUCUGACAAAAAAAUAUUUUUCUACUUGCUCAUAUGAAAAGAGCUAAGAAGAAAUAGUUCUGUCAGAAAUAUGUUAGCAUAGUAGUCAAAAACUGAUAGACCCAAGCUAACGACGAUGUUAAGUUUGGACUCUUGCAUAGAAUCCGUGUUAAAUUUCACCAAUUGGUGGAUGACAUUUGGAUGUUUGACCUUUUGCCUUCUACUCGUCAAAAAAGUUAGCGUUUGUAAUAUUUUUUCUAGAAUUAAGGUACAAGCUAAAGAGGUAACAGCUCAGAGCCAUCCAUUAACACAAACCUACCAUUUUUAUGAUGUGGUCCAUCUCCUUCCUAUUCGUAUUAAUACUAAAAACCAUUUAACAAUACAACUUAUAAUAUAUUGUGAUAUUCUGUACAUAAAAACAUCUAUUAUGCCUAAAUCUCUAUCUAUGACAUGAAUGGAAAUAAUUAAAAACAUACUAUAAAAUAAAAAAAAACGUCGUAGUGGGCUUUGAAAUGGCAAGUUCAAGACCUACUCUGACAUCAUUUUUUUUUAGAUUAUACGGCACUUAUAAAUAAAAUACAAAAUUGUAUACUACAAAAGCUGUUUUGUACAUGGAAGUUUGAGCACGUAAAAUUUUCACAACUUAGUCACUUUAAUAAAGGAACUUAGAUGUGCUAUUUCCCAAACAAAUUAACAGAAUAUGUUAAUUAAUAUUAGUUAGGUAUAACAGGUCAUAGGAAACAUAAAUUUAUAUUAGGUGUAGGCAUUUGAGUUAAUGGAUGACCCGAAAAAUAACAGUGUAAAUAUAUUCUUACAUUUAUAUAGACCACAGUAAAACUAUAAACUAAAAUAAAAUAAUAUACUGUAAAAUUAAAUCUAUGAUAAAAGAAGGUAAUAUAUAGCUGAGCUCCAAUUUUAGAGAUAUCGAAGUUAUCUUGAUGCCCGCACAAUGGUUUAAUUAAUAAGUACAAAAAUGUGUGUAUGCCUUUAUUAUUGUAUGCCCUCCACAACACUGGUGCUCAAAAUAUUUAAAUAUAAAUUUUGACUGCCGGAGUAUAGGUAUUUAGAUGCAGAUGAUUACAAGUGCAUAAAACUAUUUGUUCUUUUACUUGGUAUAAUAUUCUAGCUCAAAAACGUACAAAAAAUAGGUUUUAUUUGGAUAAUAUUUUAUUAAGGAUUAAUAAUUGAACUAAAAUUUAAACAACUCCAGGGUGUUUCAAAAAACAUGUGCCGUCUCUCGUGGGGAGAUUCCUCACGUUUGUUGAAACACCCUGUAUAUUUCGAAGUCAAUACAUACCUAAUAUACUGCCUAGUUUAUAAUUACCUCCCAUUUUAUUUUGACUCAUUAUUUUGAAAGCUUAAAUAAAUCUAUAGAAGUAGGGUAGCUUAAAAUAAUUUAUUAAUAUUUUACAAAAAUACCAUAUUAAUCUUCUUCCAUACCUUACUCAUUUAAUUGUUUAAUAUCCAAAGCAAGCUUACCAUUAAACUUUUAGGCCUUAUAGUUUUAUGGCAAAAGAUAUUAGAAUGCACUGUACAAGUAAAAAUCGGGUUGGGAUUACGCAAUAAAAUUAAAAAUAAAAAAUAAACCCCAAAAGCAAAUUUGUGAAAACUCGCUAAUAUUUUUGUAAUACUCUGAAAUAAUUCUAAAUCUAUAGAUAAUUUGCAUUGCACAAUUCUGCUUUUGGAAUAAUUUUAAUUAGAUUUAACUUAUUCGUUCUAGAAUCAAGAGCAAUAAUUAUUCUAUUCCCUUGAUCUUUGUUAAGAAAUUAAAGAUUAAUGUAAUGAUUAAAUGUAUAAACUAGUUUAACUGUGGUUUACAAUAUUUGAAUUAAAGAUUGUAAGUUUACAAUGCAUUUUCCGUUUAGUUUGAUAUUAUUGUUACGAAAAAAAAAUAAAAAAAUAUAUAUACCAUUUCGUUUUUUAGUGGAGGGACCAAAUUACUUUUCAUUGUCCUCAAUCUUGUUAUUUUUAAAAGAAACUAAUAAAAUCCAUUUUUUUAUUUUCUUACCAAAAUAAUAUUGCUUGUAAACUUAUAAAUUAUUGUUAAAAAAAUUUUUGUUUAUAUUUAAUGUUAAAAUAUGACAUUGUUAUCUGCUACCUCCUAAGUAAUUUCAACAGCUUUAACUAAUGAACUGACAAAUGGUUCUUUUAAUUUUUGUUCGUCAUUGUUAACACACAAUCUUUUAAAACUAAUUUGUGAUACUUACAC
This is an RNA transcript of Sitophilus oryzae (rice weevil), 4140 nucleotides long. It is a transcript of the gene named protein tipE, with no coding region annotated. The record is from RefSeq and is a predicted model, not a curated record. The transcript is spliced from 4 exons. Lineage: Eukaryota; Metazoa; Arthropoda; Insecta; Coleoptera; Curculionidae.